This is a long non-coding RNA of Chelonia mydas (Green sea turtle), 1936 nucleotides long. RefSeq lists it as uncharacterized. NCBI's taxonomy places the organism in Eukaryota, Metazoa, Chordata, Testudines, Cheloniidae. The transcript is spliced from 3 exons. The record is from RefSeq and is a predicted model, not a curated record.
ACACAUCAGUGUUUGACAAGAUCAAUCAAUAGAUGUUUUUAAUAUUUUCAGCUACUACACCUAAAAAUAAGAAAAGUGUUCAUGAAAAAAAAAGAAAAGAAAAAGAAAAGCCACAUACAAAGAAUCAGGCCAAACCCACAUAAUUACUCUUAACUUAAGUGGUUCUUGCCUCCUAAAAUACCAGCACACAUUUAUAAUUAGCUAAUAAACUACAAAUGAAUAAUUACCUAGCACAAAGGGAGAAGGGAAGGAGGAUUUAAAACAUUACUCAGACACUUCAGCUUGUGCUGGAAAGGGAGAACCAAGAUCUCUACAAUUGCAAAUUUACUCUGGUUUAUAGGGUGCAAUUUACAUCUUUUACACAAGACCCAGCCAGAAGACCUUGACUGCAAGUGCCCAGUGAUGAAAAGUCUUCCCUGGACAUUGAGAUAACACUGCAAUGCAGCUACAGCUCAGACCUCUUUAGCUGGUGCAGACCAAGGAGUGGGUGUAACUGGCUGACGACUGCACGUGGGAAAUGACUGCCUCUCCUGCUGCUAGUGCCACAGGGAAGUUAACAAAGCUGCGGGCGGUACUGCUUUUCCAGCAGAGUUCCUCUGUCUUCGGGGCUCUCUCGAAGGGAGGUUCUGAGUUAGAUACAGGCUGGGGAAGUCCCUCUGCUCCACUGAAAACAUGAGGCCACCGAACAAGGAAGAGCAGCUAGGGCCUCCAUAAAGAGGGAUAGGGAACAAAUGUAAAGACUGUCCUCUGAAGAAGAGCGGAGCAUGAGAAGAUAUCCCUAAAAGACAAGCAGCGGAGUCAUAUUUCCGUAGUUACUUAACACCUGUAAUUUAUCAGCGAAUGCAGGACAGAGUGGACAUGGUUGUACAUGUUUUACCACAGUGAGUUAGGAAUAAAGAAUUAUUCCUUUACUUAUGGUUUUGAGUAAAAUAAGCACUUUGAAAAUUAGGUGACAUCUACUUCUGGAGACAAGGUCGAUCCGUCCUAAUGUUAAUUAACCUCUACAUCCAAUUUUAAUAACUGUGUAGAAAACAUAGGUAUAUCUUCAAGGGUAACUGAAACAGUAGAUGGCAGUGUGUUCUACAACACCCAACACACUCCCUGUGCGGACUGGAUUUUCCCAGAGUGAAUUUCAGAUGUUAUUUCGCCCUCUCCCCUCUGCUUAAGGCCCAGAUCCUCAAGUGGUGUAAACUGGCAUAGCAACACUACAUUUACACCACCACCUGAUACACAAUUUAUACCACCACCUGAUAAUCUGACCCCAAAGCGUAUCUAAAAAUCUGUGAAAUCACUACAGUCCUUCUGAAAUAAACAGAUUAAGCCAGAUCCUCAGCUGGUGUCAACUGUAGUUAAUGGAGCUACAUGCAGAAUACCGGCUGAGGAAUCUGGCCCAUUAUUUUUAAGAGGUAAAAGAAGUGAAGCAGGCAGGUAUAUUCAGCUUUCCUCUUUGUGAUGGUGAUGGCCCGAUUAUGCAGCGACUGCCUUGUGAGAGUGGUUUUCCCUCUGGGAUAGGGAGCAACUUAAAAAUGUUCAACUGGUAAUAUGGUCAUAAAGAUGUACUUGUGCAAUGAGAUGAACUGGGUGAUGCAUCACUACUCCUUUCAACUGGGGAUUAAAUGAACGACACUCCCAGAGGACAUUUGGAUACUACAUUCUAAUAUUGCUUUUCGGAGAAGUUGAUUUGGCUGGAUCUAUUGAAUUCUUACCCCCUCAGUGCCAUCCUUGAUUGCCAUUUUCCUGAUAACUUUCUGUUUAAACUCAUUAACUGGAACACCCCAUGCAAAAAAAUACAGAAGGAGCAGUAAAUCUGGUGUCUCUUUGUAAUAGGAUUAUUUCAGCUGCUUAUGCUAUGUGGACCACGCUAAAAUACCAUUUCCAUGUUAACUCUAUCAUAUAAUUAUUGCCAUUGGAACAGAACUAAUACAAUUGUUUACAA